GCCAGGCGUGGUGGUGCAUGUCUGUGAUCCCAGCUACCUGGGAGGCUGAGGCAGAAGAACCACUUGAAUCCAGGAGGCGGAGGUUGCAGUGAGCCGAGAUCACACUAGUGUGAUCUCGGCUCACUGCAACCUCCGCCUCCUGGAUUCAAGUGGUUCUUCUGCCUC
This 165-nucleotide signal recognition particle RNA is filed under the name Gorilla gorilla gorilla (western lowland gorilla). Its description in RNAcentral is "Metazoan signal recognition particle RNA". It matches the Rfam family "Metazoan signal recognition particle RNA". From Rfam's summary of the family: The signal recognition particle (SRP) is a universally conserved ribonucleoprotein. It is involved in the co-translational targeting of proteins to membranes. Lineage: Eukaryota; Metazoa; Chordata; Mammalia; Primates; Hominidae. The record is from Rfam by way of RNAcentral.